RNAcentral lists this unclassified non-coding RNA (136 nucleotides) under uncultured Ascomycota. RNAcentral describes it as "sequence contains ITS1". Lineage: Eukaryota; Fungi; Ascomycota. The record is from RNAcentral.
CAGAGUUGCAAAACUCCCAACCAUUGUGAACGAACCCGUUAUAGUUGCUUCGGCGGGUAGUGCGCUGAUACCACCCGCCGGUAGCAUGCAAACUCUAAAUUACAGUGGAUCUCUGAGUGGCUUAUUCAAUGAGUUA